Molecule: unclassified non-coding RNA, 257 nt
Filed under: uncultured Sordariomycetes
Lineage: Eukaryota; Fungi; Ascomycota; Sordariomycetes
Description: sequence contains ITS2
Rfam family: 5.8S ribosomal RNA (bases 1-52)
Source: RNAcentral
AACGCACAUUGCGCCCGCCGGCAUUCCGGCGGGCAUGCCUGUUCGAGCGUCAUUUCGACCCUCAAGCCUUAAUGGCUUGGUGUUGGGGCGCCCGCGCCAGCGCGCGCGGGGCCCUCAAGUCUAUCGGCGGGCUCGUCGGACACUGAGCGCAGUAAUUAUUCUUCGUUCGGCCUGUCCCGGCGGGUUUCCUGGCCGUUAAACACCUCAAAUUACCAAAGGUUGACCUCGGAUCAGGUAGGAAUACCCGCUGAACUUAA